AUUGAACGCUGGCGGCAGGCCUAACACAUGCAAGUCGAACGGUAACAGGAAGCAGCUUGCUGCUUUGCUGACGAGUGGCGGACGGGUGAGUAAUGUCUGGGAAACUGCCUGAUGGAGGGGGAUAACUACUGGAAACGGUAGCUAAUACUGCAUAACGUCGCAAGACCAAAGAGGGGGACCUUCGGGCCUCUUGCCAUCGGAUGUGCCCAGAUGGGAUUAGCUAGUAGGUGGGGUAACGGCUCACCUAGGCGACGAUCCCUAGCUGGUCUGAGAGGAUGACCAGCCACACUGGAACUGAGACACGGUCCAGACUCCUACGGGAGGCAGCAGUGGGGAAUAUUGCACAAUGGGCGCAAGCCUGAUGCAGCCAUGCCGCGUGUAUGAAGAAGGCCUUCGGGUUGUAAAGUACUUUCAGCGGGGAGGAAGGGAGUAAAGUUAAUACCUUUGCUCAUUGACGUUACCCGCAGAAGAAGCACCGGCUAACUCCGUG
This 490-nucleotide ribosomal RNA is filed under the name uncultured bacterium. RNAcentral's name for it is "partial 16S ribosomal RNA". It matches the Rfam family "Bacterial small subunit ribosomal RNA", at positions 30 to 507 of the family's 1533-position model. The record is from RNAcentral.